RNAcentral lists this ribosomal RNA (583 nucleotides) under Phymatodes testaceus. RNAcentral describes it as "partial large subunit ribosomal RNA". The stretch from base 225 to 382 matches the Rfam family "Archaeal large subunit ribosomal RNA", at positions 1876 to 2091 of the family's 2987-position model. The record is from RNAcentral. Lineage: Eukaryota; Metazoa; Arthropoda; Insecta; Coleoptera; Cerambycidae.
UUCCCGAAUUUAAAAGAGCUAUAUAUUUUAUUGUAAUAAAUAUUUAAAAUAUGAAAUGAAACGUUAAUUUAUCUGGUUUUUUAAGAAAAUUUAAUUUUUUUAUAUUCUGGGGGAUGAGCUUCAGAUAGAAUUAAAAGUUUUGUUAUAAUUUUUUUAUUAAAAUAGAUUACUUAAUUUGAAUUGAAUUAAUGAUUAGAUUAGUAUAAGGUUAAAAAAAGUAAUUCGGCAAAAAUUUUUCACCUGUUUAUUAAAAACAUGGCCUUAUGAGAAUAAUUUAAGGUCGAGCCUGCCCACUGAGGCUGCGGUACUCUGACCGUACAAAGGUAGCAUAAUAAUUAGUUUUUUAAUUGAAAGCUGGAAUGAAUGGUUUUAUGAAAAAAUUACUGUCUCUUUUUAAUAGAAUUUUAUCUUUAAGUAAAAAAGCUUAAAUUUUGUUGAAAGACGAGAAGACCCUAUAGAGUUUUAUUUUGAUUGGGGCGAUUGAAAAAUUAGAUGAACUUUUGAUUAUAAGAAUAAAUUACCUUAGGGAUAACAGCGUAAUCUUUCUUAGAGUUCUAAUCGAAAGAAGGGGUUGCGACCUCGA